RNAcentral lists this ribosomal RNA (275 nucleotides) under uncultured bacterium. Its description in RNAcentral is "partial 16S ribosomal RNA". It matches the Rfam family "Bacterial small subunit ribosomal RNA", at positions 338 to 614 of the family's 1533-position model. The record is from RNAcentral.
CCUACGGGGGGCUGCAGUGGGGAAUAUUGGACAAUGGGCGGAAGCCUGAUCCAGCAACGCCGCGUGAGGGAUGACGGCCUUCGGGUUGUAAACCUCUUUCGUCAUCGACGAAGCUCCAUGUUGAUUGGGGUGACGGUAGGUGAGGAAGAAGCACCGGCCAACUACGUGCCAGCAGCCGCGGUAAUACGUAGGGUGCGAGCGUUGUCCGGAAUUAUUGGGCGUAAAGGGCUCGUAGGCGGUUUGUCGCGUCGGGAGUGAAAACACUGGGCUUAACC